Molecule: ribosomal RNA, 1535 nt
Filed under: Klebsiella pneumoniae
Lineage: Bacteria; Pseudomonadati; Pseudomonadota; Gammaproteobacteria; Enterobacterales; Enterobacteriaceae
Description: bacterial SSU rRNA
Rfam family: Bacterial small subunit ribosomal RNA
Source: RNAcentral
UUGAAGAGUUUGAUCAUGGCUCAGAUUGAACGCUGGCGGCAGGCCUAACACAUGCAAGUCGAGCGGUAGCACAGAGAGCUUGCUCUCGGGUGACGAGCGGCGGACGGGUGAGUAAUGUCUGGGAAACUGCCUGAUGGAGGGGGAUAACUACUGGAAACGGUAGCUAAUACCGCAUAACGUCGCAAGACCAAAGUGGGGGACCUUCGGGCCUCAUGCCAUCAGAUGUGCCCAGAUGGGAUUAGCUAGUAGGUGGGGUAACGGCUCACCUAGGCGACGAUCCCUAGCUGGUCUGAGAGGAUGACCAGCCACACUGGAACUGAGACACGGUCCAGACUCCUACGGGAGGCAGCAGUGGGGAAUAUUGCACAAUGGGCGCAAGCCUGAUGCAGCCAUGCCGCGUGUGUGAAGAAGGCCUUCGGGUUGUAAAGCACUUUCAGCGGGGAGGAAGGCGUUAAGGUUAAUAACCUUGGCGAUUGACGUUACCCGCAGAAGAAGCACCGGCUAACUCCGUGCCAGCAGCCGCGGUAAUACGGAGGGUGCAAGCGUUAAUCGGAAUUACUGGGCGUAAAGCGCACGCAGGCGGUCUGUCAAGUCGGAUGUGAAAUCCCCGGCUCAACCUGGGAACUGCAUUCGAAACUGGCAGGCUAGAGUCUUGUAGAGGGGGGUAGAAUUCCAGGUGUAGCGGUGAAAUGCGUAGAGAUCUGGAGGAAUACCGGUGGCGAAGGCGGCCCCCUGGACAAAGACUGACGCUCAGGUGCGAAAGCGUGGGGAGCAAACAGGAUUAGAUACCCUGGUAGUCCACGCCGUAAACGAUGUCGAUUUGGAGGUUGUGCCCUUGAGGCGUGGCUUCCGGAGCUAACGCGUUAAAUCGACCGCCUGGGGAGUACGGCCGCAAGGUUAAAACUCAAAUGAAUUGACGGGGGCCCGCACAAGCGGUGGAGCAUGUGGUUUAAUUCGAUGCAACGCGAAGAACCUUACCUGGUCUUGACAUCCACAGAACUUUCCAGAGAUGGAUUGGUGCCUUCGGGAACUGUGAGACAGGUGCUGCAUGGCUGUCGUCAGCUCGUGUUGUGAAAUGUUGGGUUAAGUCCCGCAACGAGCGCAACCCUUAUCCUUUGUUGCCAGCGGUCCGGCCGGGAACUCAAAGGAGACUGCCAGUGAUAAACUGGAGGAAGGUGGGGAUGACGUCAAGUCAUCAUGGCCCUUACGACCAGGGCUACACACGUGCUACAAUGGCAUAUACAAAGAGAAGCGACCUCGCGAGAGCAAGCGGACCUCAUAAAGUAUGUCGUAGUCCGGAUUGGAGUCUGCAACUCGACUCCAUGAAGUCGGAAUCGCUAGUAAUCGUAGAUCAGAAUGCUACGGUGAAUACGUUCCCGGGCCUUGUACACACCGCCCGUCACACCAUGGGAGUGGGUUGCAAAAGAAGUAGGUAGCUUAACCUUCGGGAGGGCGCUUACCACUUUGUGAUUCAUGACUGGGGUGAAGUCGUAACAAGGUAACCGUAGGGGAACCUGCGGUUGGAUCACCUCCUU